CGAAAGCAUCCUGUAAGCUCCUCCAAAAGUGGGAUGCAAAACGGGGGUCUCGAUCUGAAACAAUAGAUGUAGGUACCCCGUGCAAUUGCACAAUCUCAUCCAAGUAAACCUGUGCGAGUCUCUCACCAAUCCAAGUAGUGUGGAUAGGUAUGAAAUGGGCCGAUUUCGUCAGCCUAUCCAUGAUCACCCAAAUAGCGUUGUGCCCGGCCUGUGAGCGAGGCAAUCCCAUCACGAAAUCCAUGGUGAUCUUUUCCCACUUUCAUACUGGAAUCGAUAGGCUCUGAAGUUUUCCCGCGGGAACUCGGUGCUCAGCUUUCACCUGUUGGCAAGUUAAGCAUCUGGCAACAAACUCACCAACAUCCUUUUUCAUCUCGGGCCACCAGUAAAGUAACUUCAAGUCCUUGUACAUCUUGGUGCCUCCCGGAUAUAUAGCAUACGGUGCUCGGUGUGCUUCUUGAAGAAUAUCCUCUUUAAUGCCCAAGUCCGCCGGUAUACAAAGUCGUCCGCGGAAACGCAUCAAUCCAUCUCCGUCUAAAGUGAAGUCACCGGUGCAACCAUCAACCAUCUUAGCUCGAAUCUUUUGCAAUUCCACAUCGGAAGCUUGCUUUUCUUUAAUCCUUUCCAUAAGUGUAGGUUGCACCACCAAAGUCAUCAGUCUCAAAGGUGUAUCAGGAGCCACCACCUCCAACUCCAACCGCUUCAUCUGCUCGAUCAACAGCGGUUGAGUGACCACAAACAUCGCUAAGUUUUUCGUCGAUUUCCAACUUAGCGCAUCCGCAACCACGUUAGCCUUGCCCGGGUGGUAAAGAAUCGUCAGGUCGUAAUCCUUGAGCAGCUCCAACCAUCGGCGCUGCCUCAGGUUCAACUCCUUCUGAGUGAAUAAAUACUUUAAGCUCUUGUGAUUCGUAUAUACUUCGCACUGCUCGCCGUAUAAAUAAUGGUGCCAUAGCUUCAAUACAAAAACCACGACCGCCAAUUCCAAGUCGUGAGUAGGGUAAUUCCUUUCAUACUCCUUCAAUUGGCGAGAUGCAUAAGCGAUCACUUUCCCGUCCUAAAUCAAGACAUAGCCCAAUCCAUUAAAGGAAGUAUCACUAUAAAUCACAUACCCUGCUCCAGCAGUUGGCAAGGUUAGGAUCGGGGCGGUCGUCAAUCUCUGCUUCAACUCUUGGAAGCUCCUUUCACACGCAUCAUUCCAGAUAAACUUGGUGCCUUUGUGCGUGAGCCUCGUGAGGGGAGUAGAUAACUUUGCAAAUCCCUCAACAAACCGUCGGUAGUAGCUGGCCAAACCAAUGAAGCUCCGUAUCUCGGUCACACUCGUCGGCCUCGGCCAAUCCUUGAUAGCUUCAAUUUUCCUUGGAUCCACAACUAUCCCUGCUCCUGAAAUCAAAUGGCCUAAAAACGCCACCUCUCUAAGCCAAAACUCACAUUUUUUCAACUUAGCAUAGAGCUUCUUUUCCCGAAGCACUUGAAGUACAAGUCUCAACUGUUCCUCGUGAUCCGCAUCACUUCGGGAAUAGACCAAAAUGUCGUCGAUGAACACCACGGCAAACCUGUCUAAAUAAGGCUUGAAAACACGUUUCAUUAAAUCCAUAAAAGCUGCCGGGGCAUUAGUAAGCCCAAACGGCAUAACGGUAAACUCAUAAUGUCCAUAUCGUGUUCUAAAAGCCGUCUUUGACACAUCCUCAGGCUUGAUCUUCAACUGGUGAUAUCCCGACUGCAAGUCAAUCUUGGAAUACACACAAGACCCCUGGAGCUGAUCAAGUAGAUCAUCAAUCCUCAGUAAUGGAUACUUGUUCUUGAUCGUGACUUUAUUAAGUUCACGAUAGUCCACGCACAAGCGAAAUGAUCCAUCAUUCUUUUUGACAAAUAGGACCGGUGCUCCCCAAGGUGACACACUCGGUCGCACAAAACCCUUAUCCAAAAGAUCCUCCAACUGUGCCUUCAGCUCUCUCAAUUCAGCUGGUGCCAUCCUAUAGGGCGCCUUUAAGAUUGGAGUAGUCCCAGGAACGAGAUCUACCACAAACUCAAUCUCUCUAUCAGGUGGCAUGCCUGGAAGCUCUGCUGGGAACACAUCUCCAAACUCCCGCACUUCGUGGAUAUCCUCAAUCCUAGGGGUGUCAUCCUCACCCCGCAACACAACAGUAGCCAAGUAGGCUACGCAGCCUCUACUAAUCAACUGCCUAGCUCGAGAGGAGCUAAUCGUCAUCGCAAACAGCGAACUCUGGCAUCCUCGGUACACAACCUCCGCCUGCUCCGGCUCUCUAAAUGUUACCGUUCGAUCCUUGCAAUCGAUAGUGGGGUAGUACUUAGUCAACCAAUCCAUGCCGAACACAACAUCAAACUCCCCGAGUUUAUGCAACACUAGUAAGUCCACGGGCAUGAUCCAAUCUCCAACCCGAGCAGAGCAACUGGGGCAAAACUCUCGAAUGUCCAAGGAAUGGUCGCGUACAACAACUCGGCCCGGGUGUAACAAAGAUACAAGUGGGAUGCCAUGCAACUCGGCAAACAGCCGGUCUAUGAAUGAAUGCGAUGCGCCGGUAUCAAACGCUCCUCGUGAUCUGCAUUGUUUGAUUCAAAUCUCUUCUAAUGCUCCAAAAGAGAGCUAGAAUCCUUCCAAUCCAACCUAAUGGAAGAUUCUAAUCCACUCAAAUAAGCUCCAAAAGCCCUAGAUUCAAAACGCCGAAAAAUAAGCCCUAAAACCACAUCUAGGGUUUCAUCUCAAAGAAACCUCCAAAAUUCAAAUCUAGAGGGAAGGAUCUUGUCACUUACCUCUUAGAAGCUCCAAUCCAUGCUCAAAGUCUUCAAUCAACCAAGAUCUUUCCUCAACCAAGCCUCAAAUCCAAGCUUCAAGCUUCAUCCAUGGUGGAAAAGGCACUAAAGGGCAAAAGAGAGAAGAAAUCCAUCAAAAACCAUGCAAAAUGGAGAUCAAAUCCAAAGAGAUGGUGGAGAGGGUCCCCUUACCUUGUUUCCCUAAGUUCUCAGCUCAAGAGAAGCCCUAGGGGGCGUGGGUGCUGAUAUAAGAAGCCCACAAUCGCGAAAAACCCCCUGCAGUUCAAAUUGCACGAAAUCAGCCCCCUUGUACCGGUACACGGGCCCUUAUUCCGGUACAAGACCCACGAAAAGCCAAACCCGAGGCUCGGGUUGUGGGGUUCUGCGGCCCUGUACCGGUACAAGCCCGGUGGCUGUACCGGUACAACCAUCAACCUUGUACCGGUACAGCCACAGCCUUGUACCGGUACAAGCCCUGCUGAGGGCUACCCGAGAGCUGACCAACUUCCAAUUUUUUGGGUUUUGGUACACAGCUUUAAACCACAAUUCUUGGGAUACGUGCCAUAGGUCGGAACACAGUCAACGACCCUCCAGAAAAUCUGGAAGAGCUCAGGACACAUCCAAACACUCGAACCUUGCAAUUUGCAAAGGUCCAGUGUGCUACAUUCACCCCUCCUAAAAAGGAGUUUCGUCCGCAAAACUCAAAACAAGCAAAGUACCUCAAGCAUCCAUCUGAAAAAGAUGGGGAUAGCGCUCCCGCAGUGCGCUCUCCAACUCCCAAGUGGCCUCGCGCUCGUCGUGGUUGCUCCAAAGCACCUUCACGUAGGGAAUUUUCCGGUUCCGCAAUCUUUUCACCUCGCGAGCCAAAAUCUUCAAAGGUUGCUCCUCAAAGCUCAAGUCCUCCCGCAACUCCAAAGGUGUAGCCUCCAAUACAUGAGUCGGGUCGAAGAUGUACUUCUGAAGGACCGAUACAUGAAAGACGUUAUGCACGCCCGAUAGGUUCGGUGGUAGAGCGAGUCGAUAUGCUACCGGACCUACCCGCUCCAAGAUCUCAUACGGUCCAAUGAAACGGGGACUCAACUUACCCCGAAUCCCAAAUGUCCUUAUUCCUCUAGUCGGCGAGACCUUUAAGAAAACAUAGUCUCCAACUUGGAACUCCAAGUCUCGCCGCCGUCGAUCAGCAUAGCUCUUCUGUCUGCUAUGCGCUGUCAAAAGUCGCUCCCGAGUAAUGCGAAUCUUGUCCUCAGCUUCCUGGAGCACAUCAGGGCCUAAAGCCAAUCUCUCGCCCACUUCACUCCAAUGAAGGAGCGAUCUACACUUCCGUCCAUAGAGGGCCUCGAAGGGUGCCAUCUUGAUGCUUGCUUGAUAACUGUUGUUAUAAGCAAACUCCGCCAUAGGUAGAUGCUGCGACCAUCCUUCCUGGAAGUCUAUCACACAUGCCCAGAGCAUAUCCUCUAAGGUCUGAAUAGUGCGCUUCGACUGUCCAUCACUCUGCGGGUGGAAUGCGGUACUGAAAUCCAAAUGAGUGCCUAAGCCGUCCUGCAGACUCCUCCAAAAGUGAGACACGAAGCCCGUGUCGCGAUCAGAUACGAUCGAUGUAGGAACUCCAUGAAGUCGCACAAUCUCAUCAAGGUACACUUGUGCGAGCUUUUCCCCGGUCCAAGUAGUAUGAAUAGGCACGAAAUGCGCCGACUUCGUCAACCUAUCCACGAUCACCCAAAUAGUAUCGUGCCCUGCUUGGGAGCGAAGCAAUCCUGUCACAAAGUCCAUAGUGAUCUUCUCCCAUUUCCACACGAGAAUAGGCAAACUCUGAAGUUUUCCCGCAGGAACUCGGUGCUCAGUCUUUACUUGUUGGCAAGUUAAACAUCUAGCAACAAACUCACAAACGUCCUUUUUCAUCCCGGGCCACCAAUAGAGCAACUUUAAAUCCUUGUACAUUUUGGUGCCUCCCGGAUGUAUAGCAUAGGGUGCCCGGUGCGCCUUUUGAAGAAUAUCCUCUUUAAUUUCCGAAUCUACCGGUACACAGAUCCGUCCGCGGAAAUGCAUUAGCCCUCGGUCGUCCACUAGGAACUCGCUAGUGCAACCAUCAACCAUUCUACCUCGAAUCUUUUGCAAUUCCAGAUCGAAAACUUGCUUCCCUUUGAUUCUAUCCAAAAGAAUAGGUUGCACUACCAAGGUCAUCAAUCUCAAGGGUGUGUCGGGAGUCACUAUCUCCAACUCCAACUGCUUGAUCUGCUCAAUCAACUGCGGUUGAGUCACAACAUGCAUCGCUAAGUUUUCCAUCGAUUUCCUACUUAGCGCAUCCGCCACCACGUUAGUCUUGCCCGGGUGGUAAAGGAUCGUCAGAUUAUAAUCCUUGAGUAGCUCCAACCAUCUGCGCUGCCUCAAGUUCAACUCUUUCUGAGUAAACAGGUACUUCAAGCUCUUGUGAUCCGUAUACACUUCACACCGCUCGCCAUAAAGGUAAUGGCGCCAUAGCUUCAAUGCGAACACCACGGCCGCCAACUCCAAAUCAUGCGUAGGGUAGUUCUUUUCAUACUCCUUCAGUUGGCGAGAAGCAUACGCGAUCACCUUGCCAUCCUGCAUCAAUACACAGCCCAAACCAUUAAGUGAAGCAUCACUAUAAACCACAUACCCUGCUCCAGCUACUGGUAAGGUCAAGAUCGGGGCGGUCGUCAAUCUUUGCUUCAACUCUCGGAAGCUUCGCUCGCACGCAUCAUUCCAAAUGAACUUGACUCCUUUAUGCGUGAGCCUCGUGAGGGGAAUAGACAAUUUAGCAAACCCCUCUACAAAUCUCCGGUAGUAGCCGGCCAAUCCAAGAAAGCUCCGUAUCUCCGUGACGCUCGUCGGUCUCGGCCAAUCCUUAAUUGCUUCAAUCUUCUUAGGAUCCACGGCUAUACC
RNAcentral lists this long non-coding RNA (5670 nucleotides) under Ananas comosus (pineapple). Its description in RNAcentral is "long non-coding RNA (ACOM_LNC043772)". The record is from RNAcentral. Lineage: Eukaryota; Viridiplantae; Streptophyta; Magnoliopsida; Poales; Bromeliaceae.